AAGUCGUAACAAGGUAACCGUAGGUGAACCUGCGGUUGGAUCAUUAAUAAUUCAAGAGGUACUUUAUUGUAUCUUUUUGGCUUGCACCACUUGCCAUUUAUUUGGCAUGAGGGGCUUGCUGAUAAAACACACUGUGCACUGUAAUUGUAUUUUGGGAAAGUUAUCGGCGGCUACACAACUAACUGUUAGCAUGUCUUACGGCUUUCCCUGCCCAAACCCAAAACCCAAACCAACGUAUUUAAACAUCAUAUGACUUAUACUUAUUUUUUAUAAAAUAAUACAACUUUUGACAACGGAUCUCUUGGCUCUC
This 310-nucleotide unclassified non-coding RNA is filed under the name fungal sp. RNAcentral's name for it is "partial internal transcribed spacer region". The stretch from base 1 to 46 matches the Rfam family "Eukaryotic small subunit ribosomal RNA", at positions 1786 to 1831 of the family's 1831-position model. The record is from RNAcentral. Lineage: Eukaryota; Fungi.